Molecule: ribosomal RNA, 253 nt
Filed under: uncultured bacterium
Lineage: Bacteria
Description: partial 16S ribosomal RNA
Rfam family: Bacterial small subunit ribosomal RNA
Source: RNAcentral
UACGGGGGGGGCAAGCGUUGUCCGGAUUUACUGGGCGUAAAGAGCGCGCAGGCGGUCGUUCAAGUCGAGUGUGAAAGCCCCCGGCUCAACUGGGGAGGGUCACUCGAUACUGAUCGACUCGAAGGCAGGAGAGGGUAGUGGAAUUCCCGGUGUAGUGGUGAAAUGCGUAGAUAUCGGGAGGAACACCAGUGGCGAAGGCGACUACCUGGCCUGUUCUUGACGCUGAGGCGCGAAAGCUAGGGGAGCAAACGGG